RNAcentral lists this ribosomal RNA (241 nucleotides) under uncultured Staphylococcus sp. Its description in RNAcentral is "partial 16S ribosomal RNA". It matches the Rfam family "Bacterial small subunit ribosomal RNA", at positions 99 to 334 of the family's 1533-position model. The record is from RNAcentral. Lineage: Bacteria; Bacillati; Bacillota; Bacilli; Caryophanales; Staphylococcaceae.
CGGACGGGUGAGUAACACGUGGAUAACCUACCUAUAAGACUGGGAUAACUUCGGGAAACCGGAGCUAACACCGGAUAAUAUAUUGAACCGCAUGGUUCAAUAGUGAAAGACGGUUUUGCUGUCACUUAUAGAUGGAUCCGCGCCGCAUUAGCUAGUUGGUAAGGUAACGGCUUACCAAGGCAACGAUGCGUAGCCGACCUGAGAGGGUGAUCGGCCACACUGGAACUGAGACACGGUCCAG